AACGCGAAGAACCUUACCUACUCUUGACAUCCGCGGAAUUUAGCAGAGAUGCUUUAGCGCCUUCGGGAACCGUGAGACAGGUGCUGCAUGGCUGUCGUCAGCUCGUGUUGUGAAAUGUUGGGUUAAGUCCCGCAACGAGCGCAACCCUUAUCCUUUGUUGCCAGCACGUAAUGGUGGGAACUCAAAGGAGACUGCCGGUGAUAAACCGGAGGAAGGUGGGGAUGACGUCAAGUCAUCAUGGCCCUUACGAGUAGGGCUGCACACGUGCUACAAUGGCAUAUACAAAGAGAAGCGAACUCGCGAGAGCAAGCGGACCUCAUAAAGUAUGUCGUAGUCCGGAUUGGAGUCUGCAACUCGACUCCAUGAAGUCGGAAUCGCUAGUAAUCGUAGAUCAGAAUGCUACGGUGAAUACGUUCCCGGGCCUUGUACACACCGCCCGU
This 440-nucleotide ribosomal RNA is filed under the name uncultured bacterium. Its description in RNAcentral is "bacterial SSU rRNA". It matches the Rfam family "Bacterial small subunit ribosomal RNA", at positions 958 to 1397 of the family's 1533-position model. The record is from RNAcentral.